This 245-nucleotide long non-coding RNA is filed under the name Elaeis guineensis (African oil palm). Its description in RNAcentral is "long non-coding RNA (EGUI_LNC040902)". Lineage: Eukaryota; Viridiplantae; Streptophyta; Magnoliopsida; Arecales; Arecaceae. The record is from RNAcentral.
ACACUCAAACUUCAUAAGUACUUGACUGUAUCCAAAAAUUUUUCAUCAUUGAAUUAGAAAUUUAGAUAGUCCGGUAUCAAAGUGAGUUGCUUGCAAGUCAUUGAGGCAGCCUCAAGUCAGAGAGACACUUAUACCCAUAUCCCAUUAGAGCAACUCUUGACAGCAGAGUGCUCCAGAGUUAGUCAUGCUCAAUGAAAUGUACUCUUAUAUUUCACCGUAUACCAUCCCCGUAUCACCACACACCA